Culicoides brevitarsis is the source of this 2055-nucleotide RNA transcript. It is a transcript of the gene named protein phosphatase inhibitor 2, with no coding region annotated. Lineage: Eukaryota; Metazoa; Arthropoda; Insecta; Diptera; Ceratopogonidae. The transcript is spliced from 4 exons. The record is from RefSeq and is a predicted model, not a curated record.
UCAAUAGCAAACGAAAAAAAAAUCUUUAUUGUAAUUUGAUAUAAACGCCCUGAAAAAAAAAAUUAAAUUCUGUCCUUUUCAUGACUCUUUCCCAUCGUCAAAUUAUCGUAAUUUCCUCGUAAAUAAUUAAUUUGUGCGUAGCUACAAACGCAACUAGCGAUGCGCUUGGCUUUUUAACAGAAAAAAUCAUCCAAAAUAGUGUCUGUUGUCUAGUUGCGCGUGAAAGACAGACAAAAAUCCAGAGAAAAAAAAUUAAAAAAAAAAAUUCUAAUAAAAUUUAGGUUUUAGACGAUGUCAGAGGUGUCGACAACUUCAUCUUCGGACUCCCCGAAUGCCAAAAAGCGCAAGGGAAUCCUCAAACAGUCAAGUAGCUUCGAUCGACAAGGUGCUGGAAAUCGGAAGAGCGCAAAGUUUGACGAACUGAAUGUACUUCAGACAUAUCAUCCGCCGGACAAGGAUUACGGCCAUAUGAAGGUAGAGGAGCCCAAAACGCCGUAUAAUUAUGUAGAUAACAGUGAUAUUGAUCAAUUAGAUGCCGAGUUGUUAGCGGAAAAAUUAAAAGUAGCUGCUGCUGCGGAGUCAGAAUCUUCUGAGGAAGAAGUCGAGCCAGAGACGGAGGAACAACGUGCCAAGCGAUUGGAGUUCGAAAAACGACGAAAAUUGCACUACAACGAGUUCCAGGCAGUAAAAAUGGCCCGAAAACUGCUGGAAGAGGAACUCGCGGAGCUCGAGGAGGAAGAUACCACAGACAAAAGUACCAAAAAGUCAACGACAGACAGUCAGCAAAUGGAUGUCGACAAGGAAGACAAAAACUAAAGGCCCCUCCGUGCUUCCGUCGCACCAUUUUUUACAACAACAACAACUGCAUACCAUACAAAUUACGUUCUAUUUUUAGUUUUCCAACCACACAUUACGUGUCUAAUGUCCAUAUUUAGUCUUGAUAGUUUCUCAAGGACAUCCAUCAACGACACACUCACACGAAAUCGAUCGAUUCGUCACCCCUUCCCUUUGAAAUUUCUUUCUUUCGCGCCGAAACAAUAAUCGACGUGAGAGGGAGAAAUUACAAAGGUUAUCAUCGACAUCCAUCAAAAAAAAAAAACGUGAAUUGAAAUUUAAAAGCAAUCGUUUAUAUUUACACAAGUGCUCGUCAUCAUCAUCAACUCUUCAUUAUUGUCAUUAAAUUGCAUUCUUAGAAGUAAAAACGAGAAAAAAAUGAAGAAAAUAUACACGACGAACCAUGAAAAUCACGACUUAUCUCUUGUACUCUCGAAUGAUAAAACAAUGUCAAAUCAAAUGUGUAGUAAAAAGAUAAUUGGAGCAACGUGUGCAUGUCUAACAAGUGAUAUUCUAUUUUUUUUUUGCUGGUUUAUCGGAAUCAAUUUAGCAUUUCUAAAUCCCACACCGUACGAUAAUAACAAUAAAUAAUUUUAAAAAAAGUUGCAAUAACCAAAUCCAUACGUAACCGAAACUUCUAUAAUUGCGUCUUCUUCUUUUCAUAUAAAAAAAUGUAGAAUAUAACGAAUAAAAUUUUUGUUUUUGCAUGUCGUCGUUAGUUUCGUUGUCCCAUACGUCGUCGCAAUCGCCAAUCCAUGUGUAUUUAAGUGUAUAUGUAAGCUAAAUAAAUAAAAUAAAAUAUAUUUUAAGAAGAAAAAAUAAAAAAACGCCCGAGAUUAGUUGUUGUGUGAUAUUAUUGAGGGACGAGUGUGAAAAAAAAAUAAAUCAAUCACGUUUAAACUUAAAUAAAAUGUAAGCAAAAAAAUGCACGAUGUCGCAUCGGAACGAAAAAAAAAUCUAAAAAUAGAUACAGAUGAAUUUAUUUUUGGAAAGUAAGUUUUUUAAUAUGAUUAGAUAAGAAUAGAUUGUGUUUUUUGAUAGGUUUUCUCGUGAUCGUGAUAAAAAAUGUCAACUUUUGGUUAGAAUAGAAAUCUUUUUUUUUUUUGGUUGUAAAAAAUAAUAAGAUUUUUGGUUGUAAUUUCAUGAAAUAAUUUUAAAGUAAAAUUUUAAAAAAUAAUUUAUUCGAAAAAUAAUAAUUUACUUUCUUAUGAAAUAAAUGAA